ACCCAAUAGAUACCCCGGUAGUCCACGCCGUAAACGAUGAGAACUAGAUGUCGGGGGGAGUUAGCCCUCGGUGUCGUAGCUAAACGCGCUAAAGUUCUCCGCCUGGGGAGUACGGCCGCAAGGUUGAACUCAAAGGAAUUGACGGGACCCGCACAAGCGGUGGAGCAUGUGGUUUAAUUCGACGCAACGCGAAGAACCUUACCUGGUCUUGACAUCCUCGGAACCCUGCAGAGAUGCGGGGGUGCCUUCGGGAGCCGAGAGACAGGUGCUGCAUGGCUGUCGUCAGCUCGUGUCGUGAGAUGUUGGGUUAAGUCCCGCAACGAGCGCAACCCUUGUCCCUAGUUGCCAUCAUUCAGUUGGGAACUCUAGGGAGACCGCCGGUGACAAACCGGAGGAAGGUGGGGAUGACGUCAAGCCAUCAUGGCCCUUAUGACCAGGGCUACACACGUGCUACAAUGGCCGGUACAAAGGGCUGUCAACCCGCAAGGGGG
Molecule: ribosomal RNA, 491 nt
Filed under: uncultured bacterium
Lineage: Bacteria
Description: bacterial SSU rRNA
Rfam family: Bacterial small subunit ribosomal RNA
Source: RNAcentral